ACACCGGCAGCUCAAGUGGUGGCCAUUUUUAUUUGGGCCUAAAGCGUUCGUAGCCGGUUUGAUAAGUCUCUGGUGAAAUCUCACGGCUUAACCGUGAGAAUUGCUGGAGAUACUAUUAGACUUGAGGCCGGGAGAGGUUAGCGGUACUCCCAGGGUAGGGGUGAAAUCCUAUAAUCCUGGGAGGACCACCUGUGGCGAAGGCGGCUAACUGGAACGGACCUGACGGUGAGUAACGAAAGCCAGGGGCGCG
This 250-nucleotide ribosomal RNA is filed under the name uncultured bacterium. Its description in RNAcentral is "partial 16S ribosomal RNA". It matches the Rfam family "Archaeal small subunit ribosomal RNA", at positions 473 to 721 of the family's 1478-position model. The record is from RNAcentral.